CGUAGGGCGCAAGCGUUAUCCGGAAUUAUUGGGCGUAAAGAGCUCGUAGGCGGUUUGUCGCGUCUGCUGUGAAAGACCGGGGCUCAACUCCGGUUCUGCAGUGGGUACGGGCAGACUAGAGUGCAGUAGGGGAGACUGGAAUUCCUGGUGUAGCGGUGAAAUGCGCAGAUAUCAGGAGGAACACCGAUGGCGAAGGCAGGUCUCUGGGCUGUAACUGACGCUGAGGAGCGAAAGCAUGGGAGCGAACAGGAUU
Molecule: ribosomal RNA, 253 nt
Filed under: uncultured bacterium
Lineage: Bacteria
Description: partial 16S ribosomal RNA
Rfam family: Bacterial small subunit ribosomal RNA
Source: RNAcentral